Molecule: small RNA, 440 nt
Filed under: Histoplasma ohiense
Lineage: Eukaryota; Fungi; Ascomycota; Eurotiomycetes; Onygenales; Ajellomycetaceae
Description: hypothetical lncRNA
Source: RNAcentral
AGCGAGAUACAAUUCUAUCUCAUGAAUACUAGUAUAUACCCCCUUUUCUUGAAACGGCUUUGUAGGAUUUCGGGAAGUCAACGAGCAACUAAUUUCGCCAUAUCUAAUUUUACCAUAGACUGGCCGUUUGCAAUUCCCUAAUGUCAAGAAUCAUCUAGAUCUAUCAAGGGUGAUCAAACUCUUCUUUCACUUAAGAUAUUUAUUCCCCCCCCGUCUCUGUUUGUCUGUGCGUGUCUGCAUAUUUGCCUGAAACCUACAUAUGCUCUCGCGUAGCUGCACCCACAGCCAUCAUGCCAGGGUUGACUGAAGCAAAAAGGACAUGACAAAAAAAAAAUAAAAAAUAAAAUAAAUAAAUUAGGCAAGAAAUGCAGACGGCAGCUAAGCAUUGCAUGCUCCAAUGUCCUCCCGCUGCAGUGUGGCUGCCACGCCACAGUCCAAUG